GACGAACGCUGGCGGCGUGCUUAACACAUGCCAGUCGAACGGAAAGGCCCUGCUUUUGUGGGGUGCUCGAGUGGCGAUCGGGUGAGUAACACGUGAGUAACCUGCCCUUGACUUUGGGAUAACUUCAGGAAACUGGGGCUAAUACCGGAUAGGGGCUCCUGCUGCAUGGUGGGGGUUGGAAAGUUUCGGCGGUUGGGGAUGGACUCGCGGCUUAUCAGCUUGUUGGUGGGGUAGUGGCUUACCAAGGCUUUGACGGGUAGCCGGCCUGAGAGGGUGACCGGCCACAUUGGGACUGAGAUACGGCCCAGACUCCUACGGGAGGCAGCAGUGGGGAAUAUUGCACAAUGGGCGGAAGCCUGAUGCAGCAACGCCGCGUGCGGGAUGACGGCCUUCGGGUUGUAAACCGCUUUCGCCUGUGACGAAGCGUGAGUGACGGUAAUGGGUAAAGAAGCACCGGCUAACUACGUG
Molecule: ribosomal RNA, 468 nt
Filed under: uncultured bacterium
Lineage: Bacteria
Description: partial 16S ribosomal RNA
Rfam family: Bacterial small subunit ribosomal RNA
Source: RNAcentral